CAGUCGCCGCGGGAAUACAGAGGGUGCGAGCGUUAAUCGGAUUUACUGGGCGUAAAGCGUGCGUAGGCGGCUAAUUGAGUCGGAUGUGAAAUCCCCGAGCUUAACUUGGGAAUUGCAUUCGAUACUGGUUAGCUAGAGUGUGGGAGAGGAUGGUAGAAUUCCAGGUGUAGCGGUGUAAUGCGUAGAGAUCUGGAGGAAUACCGAUGGCGAAGGCAGCCAUCUGGCCUAACACUGACGCUGAGGUACGAAAGCAUGGGGAGCAAACAGGAUUAGAUACCCGGGUAGUCCCUGUCUCUUAUAC
RNAcentral lists this ribosomal RNA (301 nucleotides) under uncultured bacterium. RNAcentral's name for it is "partial 16S ribosomal RNA". It matches the Rfam family "Bacterial small subunit ribosomal RNA", at positions 509 to 807 of the family's 1533-position model. The record is from RNAcentral.